GAUGAACGCUGGCGGCGUGCCUAAUACAUGCAAGUCGAGCGAACGGACGAGAAGCUUGCUUCUCUGAUGUUAGCGGCGGGCGGGUGAGUAACACGUGGAUAACCUACCUAUAAGUCUGGGAUAACUUCGGGAAACCGGAGCUAAUACCGGAUGAUAUUUUGAACCGCAUGGUUCAAAAGUGAAAGACGGUCUUGCUGUCACUUAUAGAUGGAUCCGCGGUGCAUUAGCUAGUUGGUAAGGUAACGGCUUACCAAGGCAACGAUGCAUAGCCGACCUGAGAGGGUGAUCGGCCACACUGGAACUGAGACACGGUCCAGACUCCUACGGGAGGCAGCAGUAGGGAAUCUUCGGCAAUGGGCGAAAGCCUGACGGAGCAACGCCGCGUGAGUGAUGAAGGUCUUCGGAUCGUAAAACUCUGUUAUUAGGGAAGAACAUAUGUGUAAGUAACUGUGCGCCUCUUGACGGUACCUAAUCAGAAAGCCACGGCUAACUACGUG
RNAcentral lists this ribosomal RNA (497 nucleotides) under uncultured bacterium. RNAcentral's name for it is "partial 16S ribosomal RNA". It matches the Rfam family "Bacterial small subunit ribosomal RNA", at positions 28 to 507 of the family's 1533-position model. The record is from RNAcentral.